GGUGUUGUGGCGUAGUUGGUUAUCACGUCAGUCUAACACACUGAAGGUCUCCGGUUCGAACCCGUGCGACGCCA
This is a transfer RNA of Leersia perrieri, 74 nucleotides long. It matches the Rfam family "tRNA". From Rfam's summary of the family: Transfer RNA (tRNA) molecules are approximately 80 nucleotides in length. NCBI's taxonomy places the organism in Eukaryota, Viridiplantae, Streptophyta, Magnoliopsida, Poales, Poaceae. The record is from Rfam.